AGUGAACGCUGGCGGUAGGCCUAACACAUGCAAGUCGAACGGCAGCACAGGAGAGCUUGCUCUCUGGGUGGCGAGUGGCGGACGGGUGAGGAAUACAUCGGAAUCUACUUUUUCGUGGGGGAUAACGUAGGGAAACUUACGCUAAUACCGCAUACGACCUACGGGCGAAAGCAGGGGACCUUCGGGCCUUGCGCGAUUGAAUGAGCCGAUGUCGGAUUAGCUAGUUGGCGGGUUAAAGGCCCACCAAGGCGACGAUCCGUAGCUGGUCUGAGAGGAUGAUAAGCCACACUGGAACUGGGACACGGUCCAGACUCCUACGGGAGGCAGCAGUGGGGAAUAUUGGACAAUGGGCGCAAGCCUGAUCCAGCCAUACCGCGUGGGUGAAGAAGGCCUUCGGGUUGUAAUGCCCUUUUGUUGGGAAAGAAAUCCAGCUGGCUAAUACCCGGUUGGGAUGACGGUACCCAAAGAAUAAGCACCGGCUAACUUCGUGCCAGCCGCCGCGGUAA
RNAcentral lists this ribosomal RNA (506 nucleotides) under uncultured bacterium. RNAcentral's name for it is "partial 16S ribosomal RNA". It matches the Rfam family "Bacterial small subunit ribosomal RNA", at positions 29 to 523 of the family's 1533-position model. The record is from RNAcentral.